CACAGUUUGACCUCCAAAACUGUGUCUCAGAUUUUUCCUUUUGUAUUUCAUUCUCUCAUAAAUCUUCAAUGAAGUUUGCAACAUCAAUUCAUAAGAGAUCACUAAAUUCAAUUGGGUAUAAAAUUUGUUCUAUUGAUGUUUUUGGAAAUCUGAGACACAGUUUUGGAGGUCAAGCUGUGUUGUACAAGAAUAUAUAAAAUAUUUUGGGAUGCUAUGCAGAACAAAGAAGCUAAAUUCGUUCAAGUGUGGACAUCACAAUAUAGCAACUAGUUACAUGAUAAUUAAUUAUGUCAUAAUGAAAUUAUCACAAUUUGAAAGAUUAAUCUUUCUUCUUUCUUUUGGUACCUCAUUUAUAAAAUACAAAGAAGGAUGAAAUGAAUUACAUCAGUUUAAAGUUGUCUGAUUGGGAGUGACAAAAUCUUUGUAUUGUGCUACCUUAAACUAGUGUAACAGCAUAUAAUAAUAAGGUUUAGGGCGUUCAUAUUUUAUAAAAGUACACACAAUCUUUAGAAAAUCGAUUUUUAUACAGAUUGCUUGUACUUUUACUGACUGAUAGGACCAAAUGAAAUUUCUAAUUACUUUUUUAUUUCUCAGGAUAUUUCUCUGAAAUUUGAAAUAUAAUCAGAUUAGACCAUUGUUUACAUAAAUAUAUGAAUAAUAUAACAAAAUUGUCAAAGAUAGCGGUAAUGUGUCCUGACCAACGUUGACAAUGUCAGCUGACAAACCUCCACAAUGACCGGACCAAAUGAAAAUGCUAAUUACUUUUUAGCUCACCUGGCCCAAAGGCCAAGUGAGCUUUCCUCAUCACUUGGCGUCCGUCGUCUGUCGUCGUCCGUCUUCGUUAACCGUUUUACAAAAAUCAUCAUUGGGGUAUGUAGUUUUAAAAAUGUGUCCUGUGACCUGGCCAACUGACCAAGAUGGCUACCAUGGCUAAACAUAGAACAUAGGGGUAAAAUGUAGAUUUAGGCUUAUAACUCUGCAACCAAAGCAUUUAGAGCAAAUCUGAAAUGCGGUUAAAUUCUUUAGCAAAUCAAUAUCUAUCUGCCCUGAAAUUUUCAGAUGAAUCCUACAACUGGUUGUUGGGUUGCUGCCCCUGAAUUGUUAAUUUUAAGGAAAUUUUACUGUUUUUAUACGCCCGUCGUCUUUUAGACGGGACGUAUUAUGGUAUACCGUUGUCCGUCCGUCUGUCCGUCCGUCCGUCGUCCACACUUCGGACAAUAACUCAAAAACGCUUUCACCAAUUUCCAUGAAACUUAAGCGAAUUGUUUAUAUCUAUUGACGUAAGCUCCCUUUCGUUUUUUUUUUAAUUUCAGAUUUUAAGUUUUGGAUUAAUGGGGCUUUAUUCAUAAAAAAGGGGGGAUUUUCAACACUUCGGACAAUAACUCAAAAAGGCUUUCACCAAUGUCCAUGAAACUUUGGUGAAUUGUUUAUAUCUAUUAAUGUAAGCUCCCUUUCAAUUUUU
This 1462-nucleotide long non-coding RNA is filed under the name Mytilus galloprovincialis (Mediterranean mussel). Lineage: Eukaryota; Metazoa; Mollusca; Bivalvia; Mytilida; Mytilidae. The record is from RNAcentral.